AUUGAACGCUGGCGGCAUGCUUUACACAUGCAAGUCGAACGGCAGCGCGGGCUUCGGCCUGGCGGCGAGUGGCGAACGGGUGAGUAAUACAUCGGAACGUGCCCAGUAGUGGGGGAUAGCUCGGCGAAAGCCGGAUUAAUACCGCAUACGACCUGAGGGUGAAAGCGGGGGAUCUUCGGACCUCGCGCUAUUGGAGCGGCCGAUGGCGGAUUAGCUAGUUGGUGGGGUAAAGGCCUACCAAGGCGACGAUCUGUAGCUGGUCUGAGAGGACGACCAGCCACACUGGGACUGAGACACGGCCCAGACUCCUACGGGAGGCAGCAGUGGGGAAUUUUGGACAAUGGGCGAAAGCCUGAUCCAGCAAUGCCGCGUGUGUGAUGAAGGCCUUCGGGUUGUAAAGCACUUUUGGCGGGAACGAAAAGGACUGUGCCAAUACCACGGUUCGAUGACGUUACCCGCAGAAUAAGCACCGGCUAACUACGUG
RNAcentral lists this ribosomal RNA (484 nucleotides) under uncultured bacterium. RNAcentral's name for it is "partial 16S ribosomal RNA". It matches the Rfam family "Bacterial small subunit ribosomal RNA", at positions 29 to 507 of the family's 1533-position model. The record is from RNAcentral.